This 375-nucleotide RNase P RNA is filed under the name Clostridia bacterium. RNAcentral describes it as "RNase P RNA component class A". It matches the Rfam family "Bacterial RNase P class A". Rfam says of the family: Ribonuclease P (RNase P) is a ubiquitous endoribonuclease, found in archaea, bacteria and eukarya as well as chloroplasts and mitochondria. Its best characterised activity is the generation of mature 5'-ends of tRNAs by cleaving the 5'-leader elements of precursor-tRNAs. Lineage: Bacteria; Bacillati; Bacillota; Clostridia. The record is from RNAcentral.
CUGACCGCGCCGAACAAUCGCGUGAUAUGUUGCCGAAAGGUAUUAUCAUGAGGAAAGUCCGGGCUUCAUAGGGCAGGAUAACGGAUAACAUCCGCCGGAGGCGACUCCCGGGAAAGUGCAACAGAAAUAAACCGCCAUACACCUCAGUAUGGUAAGGAUGGAAAGGCGAGGUAAGAGCUCACCGACGUUCAGGUAACUGCGCGUGCCAUGUAAACCCUAUCCGAAGCAACACCUUGCAAAAUUCGGUUUGCCCGACCGAGCGAAAGCUCUAUGCAUGGUGGCAGUAUGGGUCUUCUCAUACGAGCCGUUUGGUAACAAACGGCAAAGAUAGAUGAUUGUUCUCGACAGAACCCGGCUUACAGGGCGGUCAGUCCU